AUGUAUUCACUUAACGUUGAUGAUGGUGAUCGCAGCUUGCAGUUGUCUGUUACUCAGUCUCAAAGUGUUGAUGGCACUGAGCCUGUUACCCAGGCUGAGGAUGUUCCUAUGCACAAAGCUGAUGCGGAUAGUGUUGCUGUGAAAAUUGGUCCAAACAAACUUGGUGGCUCCUCUGUUCGACGGAGUCCACGAGGUUUGACAAAUAAGAAGCCUUCUUCGUCUCCUCUUCAAGAACGGUCUUUGUUGAAAGAAAAUAAGAAGCGUAAAGUUCAUCCUGCAAAGGUGAACAAAGGUGUGAAGAAGCGUGCUCGUGUUGAAGCUAAAGAUGUUGUAUCUGAAGAAAAUGAUAUUGAAGUUGAUUCAGAAGAUGAAUUUGCAGUGCCUGUUAGCGUUAUGAGUCCGGUCAAGCCGGUGGGAGGCAAUGCUGGAAAAGUUGCCUUGGAUGAAGAUUCUGAUACAAUGACUCUUGACAUGGGUGAGGCUAAUAAGAAGCUUCGCAUCACUAGCAAUGGUAUACAGCAAUUAUUUGGUUUCCCUCAUGGUGGUCGUUCUGCGCCAAAGCCGUCAGAGGACGGAUAUGACAACGCUCAGAUGAAGUUAAGAUCGGAGCUUGACAUUAGCAGGAACAAAGAUAUCAAGACAAAGGAUUUGAGGAAUAAGCUCAAGGUGCUCGUCAAGGAUCCUAGCAAAGAUGAUCUUGCUCUGAAAGUGUUCUUCAUUAUUGUGUUUAUGAAGGUUGUGUUGCCUGGUUCUGCCCCGCGUGUUUCCAGAGAGGCAGCAAUGUUUGAGGGUCUCGUCUUUGAGGACAUGGCUAAUAUGGAUUAUUGCCAGCUGAUGGUUGAUGAGCUUAGAAGGGCUGUUGCCAAGUACCGAGAUGGUGAUACCAUGGGGAAGGCAAUCACAAGCUGUGCCAUAGGGCCUGUACUAAUGUACCUUGACUGCCUUAUCCAUGGCAAGACUGCGGAGCCUGACAUGUGA
RNAcentral lists this ribosomal RNA (978 nucleotides) under Triticum aestivum (bread wheat). RNAcentral's name for it is "partial small subunit ribosomal RNA". The record is from RNAcentral. Lineage: Eukaryota; Viridiplantae; Streptophyta; Magnoliopsida; Poales; Poaceae.